This 253-nucleotide ribosomal RNA is filed under the name uncultured bacterium. RNAcentral's name for it is "partial 16S ribosomal RNA". It matches the Rfam family "Bacterial small subunit ribosomal RNA", at positions 524 to 776 of the family's 1533-position model. The record is from RNAcentral.
UACAGAGGUCCCAAGCGUUGUUCGGAUUCACUGGGCGUAAAGGGUGCGUAGGUGGUGAGGUAAGUCGGAUGUGAAAGCUCGGAGCUCAACUCCGAAAUGGCAUUGGAAACUACCUUGCUCGAGGGUUGGAGGGGGGACUGGAAUGCUUGGUGUAGCAGUGAAAUGCGUAGAUAUCAAGCGGAACACCAGUGGCGAAGGCGAGUCCCUGGACAACUCCUGACACUGAGGCACGAAAGCGUGGGGAGCGAACAGG